GCAGUCGAGCGGGGAGAUGUAGCUUGCUACAUGACCUAGCGGCGGACGGGUGAGUAAUGCUUAGGAAUCUGCCUAUUAGUGGGGGACAACAUUCCGAAAGGAAUGCUAAUACCGCAUACGCCCUACGGGGGAAAGCAGGGGAUCUUCGGACCUUGCGCUAAUAGAUGAGCCUAAGUCAGAUUAGCUAGUUGGUGGGGUAAAGGCCUACCAAGGCGACGAUCUGUAGCGGGUCUGAGAGGAUGAUCCGCCACACUGGGACUGAGACACGGCCCAGACUCCUACGGGAGGCAGCAGUGGGGAAUAUUGGACAAUGGGCGAAAGCCUGAUCCAGCCAUGCCGCGUGUGUGAAGAAGGCCUUUUGGUUGUAAAGCACUUUAAGCGAGGAGGAGGCUACUUAGAUUAAUACUCUAGGAUAGUGGACGUUACUCGCAGAAUAAGCACCGGCUAACUCUGUGCCAGCAGCCGCGGUAAUACAGAGGGUGCGAGCGUUAAUCGGAUUUACUGGGCGUAAAGCGUGCGUAGGCGGCUUCUUAAGUCGGAUGUGAAAUCCCUGAGCUUAACUUAGGAAUUGCAUUCGAUACUGGGAAGCUAGAGUAUGGGAGAGGAUGGUAGAAUUCCAGGUGUAGCGGUGAAAUGCGUAGAGAUCUGGAGGAAUACCGAUGGCGAAGGCAGCCAUCUGGCCUAAUACUGACGCUGCAGUACGAAAGCAUGGGGAGCAAACAGGAUUAGAUACCCUGGUAGUCCAUGCCGU
RNAcentral lists this ribosomal RNA (751 nucleotides) under Acinetobacter sp.32AGV. RNAcentral's name for it is "bacterial SSU rRNA". It matches the Rfam family "Bacterial small subunit ribosomal RNA", at positions 57 to 803 of the family's 1533-position model. Lineage: Bacteria; Pseudomonadati; Pseudomonadota; Gammaproteobacteria; Moraxellales; Moraxellaceae. The record is from RNAcentral.